AGAGUUUGAUCCUGGCUCAGGAUGAACGCUGGCGGCGUGCUUAACACAUGCAAGUCGAACGAUCCUUCGGGAUAGUGGCGGACGGGUGAGUAACGCGUGGGAAUCUGCCCUCAGGAGGGGGAUAACGGCUGGAAACGGCCGCUAAUACCCCAUAUGCCGAGAGGUGAAAUGAAUUUCGCCUGAGGAUGAGCCCGCGUCUGAUUAGCUAGUUGGUGGGGUAAUGGCCUACCAAGGCAACGAUCAGUAGCUGGUCUGAGAGGAUGAUCAGCCACACUGGGACUGAGACACGGCCCAGACUCCUACGGGAGGCAGCAGUGGGGAAUUUUCCGCAAUGGGCGAAAGCCUGACGGAGCAACGCCGCGUGAGGGAUGAAGGCCUCUGGGCUGUAAACCUCUUUUCUCAAGGAAGAAGACCUGACGGUACUUGAGGAAUAAGCCACGGCUAAUUCCGUGCCAGCAGCCGCGGUAAUACGGGAGUGGCAAGCGUUAUCCGGAAUUAUUGGGCGUAAAGCGUCCGCAGGCGGCCUUGUAAGUCUGUUGUUAAAGCGUGGAGCUCAACUCCAUUUAAGCAAUGGAAACUACAAGGCUGGAGUGUGGUAGGGGCAGAGGGAGUUCCCGGUGUAGCGGUGAAAUGCGUAGAUAUCGGGAAGAACACCAGUGGCGAAGGCGCUCUGCUGGGCCAUAACUGACGCUCAUGGACGAAAGCCAGGGGAGCGAAAGGGAUUAGAUACCCCUGUAGUCCUGGCCGUAAACGAUGAACACUAGGUGUCGGGGGAAUCGACCCCCUCGGUGUCGUAGCCAACGCGUUAAGUGUUCCGCCUGGGGAGUACGCACGCAAGUGUGAAACUCAAAGGAAUUGACGGGGGCCCGCACAAGCGGUGGAGUAUGUGGUUUAAUUCGAUGCAACGCGAAGAACCUUACCAGGGUUUGACAUCCUGCGAACCCCUGAGAAAUCGGGGGGUGCCUUCGGGAGCGCAGAGACAGGUGGUGCAUGGCUGUCGUCAGCUCGUGUCGUGAGAUGUUGGGUUAAGUCCCGCAACGAGCGCAACCCACGUCUUUAGUUGCCAGCAUUCAGUUGGGCACUCUAGAGAGACCGCCGGUGAUAAACCGGAGGAAGGUGUGGAUGACGUCAAGUCAUCAUGCCCCUUACAUCCUGGGCUACACACGUACUACAAUGCUACGGACAAAGGGCAGCAAGCUCGCGAGAGUUAGCAAAUCCCAUAAACCGUGGCUCAGUUCAGAUCGUAGGCUGCAACUCGCCUACGUGAAGGAGGAAUCGCUAGUAAUCGCAGGUCAGCAUACUGCGGUGAAUACGUUCCCGAGCCUUGUAC
Molecule: ribosomal RNA, 1330 nt
Filed under: metagenome
Description: bacterial SSU rRNA
Rfam family: Bacterial small subunit ribosomal RNA
Source: RNAcentral